GAUGAACGCUGGCGGCGUGCCUAAUACACGCAAGUCGAGCGAACAGACUAGGAGCUUGCUCCUCUGACGUUAGCGGCGGACGGGUGAGUAACACGUGGAUAACCUACCUAUAAGACUGGGAUAACUUCGGGAAACCGGAGCUAAUACCGGAUAAUAUAUUGAACCGCAUGGUUCAAUAGUGAAAGACGGUUUUGCUGUCACUUAUAGAUGGAUCCGCGCCGCAUUAGCUAGUUGGUAAGGUAACGGCUUACCAAGGCAACGAUGCGUAGCCGACCUGAGAGGGUGAUCGGCCACACUGGAACUGAGACACGGUCCAGACUCCUACGGGAGGCAGCAGUAGGGAAUCUUCCGCAAUGGGCGAAAGCCUGACGGAGCAACGCCGCGUGAGUGAUGAAGGUCUUCGGAUCGUAAAACUCUGUUAUUAGGGAAGAACAAAUGUGUAAGUAACUAUGCACGUCUUGACGGUACCUAAUCAGAAAGCCACGGCUAACUACGUG
Molecule: ribosomal RNA, 497 nt
Filed under: uncultured bacterium
Lineage: Bacteria
Description: partial 16S ribosomal RNA
Rfam family: Bacterial small subunit ribosomal RNA
Source: RNAcentral